AUUGAACGCUGGCGGCAGGCCUAACACAUGCAAGUCGAACGAUUGGCGGACGGGUGAGUAAUGCCUAGGAAUCUGCCUGGUAGUGGGGGAUAACGUCCGGAAACGGGCGCUAAUACCGCAUACUAUCAGAUGAGCCUAGGUCGGAUUAGCUAGUUGGUGGGGUAAAGGCCUACCAGGGCGACGAUCCGUAACUGGUCUGCGAGGAUGAUCAGCCACACGGGAAUGGAGACACGGUCCAGAUUCCUACGGGAGGCAGCAGUGGGGAAGAUGGGACAAUGGGCGAAAGCCUGAUCAAGCCAUGCCGCGUGUAUGAAGAAGGCCUUCGGGUUGUAAAGUACUUUCAGCGAGGAGGCGUUACUCGCAGAAGAAGCACCGGCUAACUCCGUGCCAGCAGCCGCGGUAAUAC
Molecule: ribosomal RNA, 406 nt
Filed under: uncultured bacterium
Lineage: Bacteria
Description: partial 16S ribosomal RNA
Rfam family: Bacterial small subunit ribosomal RNA
Source: RNAcentral